GACUCCUUCGGGUUAUAGGGUCAAGCAAUGAAGCGCACACGGUGGAUGCCUAGGCAGCCAGAGGCGAUGAAAGACGUGGUAGCCUGCGAUAAGGUUCGGUGAGGUGGCAACAACCUGUGACCCGGACAUCUCUGAAUGGGGAAACCCACUCAUCAUAAGAUGAGUAUCCUACGCUGAAUACAUAGGCGUAGGAGGCGAACCAGGGGAACUGAAACAUCUAAGUACCCUGAGGAAAAGAAAUCAACCGAGAUUCCCCUAGUAGCGGCGAGCGAACGGGGACCAGCCCUUAAGCAUGAGAUUGAUUAGGCGAACAGAUUGGGAAGUCU
Molecule: ribosomal RNA, 326 nt
Filed under: Halomonas sp. MES3-P3E
Lineage: Bacteria; Pseudomonadati; Pseudomonadota; Gammaproteobacteria; Oceanospirillales; Halomonadaceae
Description: bacterial LSU rRNA
Rfam family: Bacterial large subunit ribosomal RNA
Source: RNAcentral